UACGUAGGGUGCAAGCGUUAAUCGGAAUUACUGGGCGUAAAGCGUGCGCAGGCGGUUUUGUAAGUCUGUCGUGAAAUCCCCGGGCUCAACCUGGGAAUUGCGAUGGAGACUGCAAGGCUAGAAUCUGGCAGAGGGGGGUAGAAUUCCACGUGUAGCAGUGAAAUGCGUAGAGAUGUGGAGGAACACCGAUGGCGAAGGCAGCCCCCUGGGUCAAGAUUGACGCUCAUGCACGAAAGCGUGGGGAGCAAAC
This 250-nucleotide ribosomal RNA is filed under the name uncultured bacterium. RNAcentral's name for it is "partial 16S ribosomal RNA". It matches the Rfam family "Bacterial small subunit ribosomal RNA", at positions 524 to 773 of the family's 1533-position model. The record is from RNAcentral. RNAcentral also lists the same sequence under 1 other name.